GGCGAAGCUGAUCCAUCAAUACCGGUGUGUGAAGAAGGCCUGAGGGUUGUAAAGCACUUCAAUAGGAAGGAAUACCUAUCGGCUAAUACCCGGUAGACUGACAUUACCUAUACAAAAAGCACCGGCUAACUCCGUGCCAGCAGCCGCGGUAAUACGGAGGGUGCAAGCGUUAAUCGGAAUUACUGGGCGUAAAGCGUGCGUAGGCGGCUCGCUAAGUCAGAUGUGAAAGCCCCGGGCUCAACCUGGGAACGGCAUUUGAAACUGGCAAGCUAGAGUUUAGGAGAGGAGAGUGGAAUUUCAGGUGUAGCGGUGAAAUGCGUAGAGAUCUGAAGGAACACCAGUGGCGAAGGCGACUCUCUGGCCUAAAACUGACGCUGAGGUACGAAAGCGUGGGUAGCAAACAGGAUUAGAUACCCUGGUAGUCCACGCCGUAAACGAUGUCAACUAGCCGUUGGCUCUCUUAGAGAGUUAGUGGCGCAGCUAACGCAUUAAGUUGACCGCCUGGGGAGUACGGACGCAAGGUUAAAACUCAAAUGAAUUGACGGGGGCCCGCACAAGCGGUGGAGCAUGUGGUUUAAUUCGAUGCAACGCGAAGAACCUUAGCUAACCUUGACAUCCAAAGAAUCUGUUAGAGAUAGUAGAGUGCCUUCGGGAUCUCUGAGACAGGUGCUG
This 672-nucleotide ribosomal RNA is filed under the name uncultured bacterium. RNAcentral describes it as "bacterial SSU rRNA". It matches the Rfam family "Bacterial small subunit ribosomal RNA", at positions 374 to 1043 of the family's 1533-position model. The record is from RNAcentral.